GGCUGCGGCGCUGACGGAAGUGACGAACGCCGUGGGGGGCGAGGUGGGCGCGAGCUCCCGGAUGCUGUGGGGUAGCGCCGGUGCUGGGAGAUGUGCACUGACCCACAGAAUGAAACAAUAGCGCUCAAAUAGCGAAAUAAUAAAUAAUAACCCAGCUCGUCCGCCCGAGGCGUGGCCCCCGCCCCCACCUGGUCGCUGUAAAACACUGUGUGAACAAGAGUUGGUUUUAUUUCUUUUUUUUUAAUUUUUUUUUCCCCGGCCGCGCAGGAUGAGCGCCGUGCCUGAGGAAGUUAAGGCAGAAGAUGGCAAAGCGGAGCCCGAGAAGAAGCUCUUUUACUGCGAUGUUUGUAAAAUUUACUGUAUGUGCGCCAUAAGUCUUCAGUCACACUACCGUGGUGCGAAGCAUAGGAGGCAAGAGAAAGCCAUGAGACGCAGGAAUCUCUAUUGUUCUUCGGCUCUAAUCCAAGUUCCGAUGAAGUACCGAGUGCUCAGACGAGUGAAGAGAUCAUUCACAGGGUACAUAACCUGUCUGAAGGAUUUUGUGAAUGAUCCCAGAAGAGAAGAGCCUCUAGUUGGUUUAGAACAUGUGGUUGAAGUCAGAUUUGAAGGAAGAAGAGAGCCACGCUACGAGUGCAGGCUGUGUGGGUGUAAUUCAGAGGUGGCACCUAUGAUAGAACAUCUUAGUGGAUAUAAACACAGAAGAGAAUACAUUUCUAAAGAAUUUCCAGAUAAAAUAAAGAAAAAAACAAAAGAUACAAAAGAAUGCAAAGUCUCGUUUUUCAGACGAAUAGCAGGAGAGCUGGAGAAGAGUGAAGGAUUAAAAAUGUAUAAGACGGAAGGUUACAUAAGACCAGCUACCUCAUGUAAGUGUGUGAAUUUCUUGAAUAUAAUAGAUUCGAUGUAAUUGAUAUUUGGCCUAAUUUGACUUACUAGUUGAACUCAAAGGGUUUGACUGAUGUAAAACAUUCAACUUGUAACACCACAGAAUGUUUUCAGAGAUUUUUCUGGUUUUUGUGAUUUUGAAGUGAUGAAAGAAGGAAAUUGCCAGACUUCCAGUCUUCUUUAGAUUUUUUUAACUUCUUGGUUCCGGAAGUAUUUUUGAUAACUGCGGUAAAUUUGCUCAUCAAGGAAAGUAAAAAAGUAUGGAAAAGUGGUACUUGAUGGCUUUCUCUGAAUAAGCUGAUAAAGUCUCCUCUACCUCAUUUACAUCAUCAGAAGACUUAUGCUAAAUCACUGGUGAAAGUGGAAAUUACCAUUUUUUAGCAAAUCCAUUGGAACAAGUGAUGGAAACCACAGCCACAAACAUAAACCCAGCAUCUUCCCUCAUACAGGAUGGCUGAGUUACAUCUUUUGUUACUGUAGCUGUGCUGUAGAUCCUUAAUGAUGCCAGACUGGAGGAAUAACCUCCUUGCUGCCUUUUGACCCUCGUGUUAAUAUCAGAAGGAAGGUGGGUUUGAUUGAAGUGGGUGAAGGUUUCAAAGAUCUACGGAAUUGGUCAGCGUGAGUCCCGCUGUAGGAGCCUGUCACAGCAGUACUUUUUUUUUUUCUUCUUUUUAUUGGUCAUUGGGGCUUCUGUGGCUUGUACUUUUAAAUGUUGGUCUGCAAAACAAGGUGACAAAAGUCUUUGAUCUCUGUGUCUCUUGGGAAGAAGAGGGAGUGUGACCCGAUAAUUAGCUGAGUAAUUCUCGGUUCAGAGUAAACUGACAUCAGUCAAGUCAGCAGACUUCUGUAGAAGUGGAAGACACGGCCAAAUAUCAAUCUAGAACAUGAAAAAGAGUGAUCCCACCCAGUCCUACAGGAUAUGAAACUGAAAAAAUGGACAAGAGGGAAGUUACCUGCAAGAGUGUUGUGCCUUUCAGUAUAAAGGUUUGCUCUGGUUAGGAAGUGAAUUCCAAAAAAACCCC
RNAcentral lists this long non-coding RNA (1904 nucleotides) under Junco hyemalis (dark-eyed junco). RNAcentral's name for it is "lncRNA (ENSJHYG00000014240.1)". Lineage: Eukaryota; Metazoa; Chordata; Aves; Passeriformes; Passerellidae. The record is from RNAcentral.